Molecule: ribosomal RNA, 305 nt
Filed under: uncultured bacterium
Lineage: Bacteria
Description: partial 16S ribosomal RNA
Rfam family: Bacterial small subunit ribosomal RNA
Source: RNAcentral
ACAGCAGCAGCCGCGGGAAAACAGAGGAUGCAAGCGUUAUCCGGAAUGAUUGGGCGUAAAGCGUCUGUAGGUGGCUUUUCAUGUCCGCCGUCAAAUCCCAGGGCUCAACCCUGGACAGGCGGUGGAAACUACCAAGCUAGAGUACGGUAGGGGCAGAGGGAAUUUCCGGUGGAGCGGUGAAAUGCGUUGAGAUCGAAAAGAGCACCAACGACGAAAGCACUCUGCUGGGUCGACACUGACACUGAGAGACGAAAGCUAGGGGAGCAAAUGGGAUUAGAUACCCCAGUAGUCCCUGUCUCUUAUAC